This 465-nucleotide ribosomal RNA is filed under the name uncultured Klebsiella sp. RNAcentral describes it as "bacterial SSU rRNA". It matches the Rfam family "Bacterial small subunit ribosomal RNA", at positions 338 to 795 of the family's 1533-position model. Lineage: Bacteria; Pseudomonadati; Pseudomonadota; Gammaproteobacteria; Enterobacterales; Enterobacteriaceae. The record is from RNAcentral.
CCUACGGGCGGCAGCAGUGGGGAAUAUUGCACAAUGGGCGCAAGCCUGAUGCAGCCAUGCCGCGUGUGUGAAGAAGGCCUUCGGGUUGUAAAGCACUUUCAGCGGGGAGGAAGGCGUUAAGGUUAAUAACCUUGUCGAUUGACGUUACCCGCAGAAGAAGCACCGGCUAACUCCGUGCCAGCAGCCGCGGUAAUACGGAGGGUGCAAGCGUUAAUCGGAAUUACUGGGCGUAAAGCGCACGUAGGCGGUCUGUCAAGUCGGAUGUGAAAUCCCCGGGCUCAACCUGGGAACUGCAUUCGAAACUGGCAGGCUAGAGUCUUGUAGAGGGGGGUAGAAUUCCAGGUGUAGCGGUGAAAUGCGUAGAGAUCUGGAGGAAUACCGGUGGCGAAGGCGGCCCCCUGGACAAAGACUGACGCUCAGGUGCGAAAGCGUGGGGAGCAAACGGGAUUAGAUACCCUUGUAGUC